Long non-coding RNA from Nerophis lumbriciformis (worm pipefish), 745 nucleotides. RefSeq lists it as uncharacterized. Lineage: Eukaryota; Metazoa; Chordata; Actinopteri; Syngnathiformes; Syngnathidae. The record is from RefSeq and is a predicted model, not a curated record.
ACGCCAACAUUUGCCAGUGGAUCGUAAAUGCCUGGGCAGAUAUUUCGGUCACAACUGUGGUCCGAGCUUUCCGGAAGGCAGGAUUCACAGAACAACAGCGACACUGACUCCGAUGACUUCGACGAGACGGAACCGGCCAUUUUGGAUACCACGCUUGCGCAACUUUUCAAUUCGGACACCGAAGACGAAGAAUUUGAAGGAUUUACGAAUGAAGAAUAACUUCAGAAGAAACCGCUAAUGAAGAAGUAAGACAUGGAAUUUGUCGGUCGCCCUGGGCAACAAAGAUGCUCCAUCUACCGCAGAGGGACCGGUGUCUGGACGGAAACAUUAAAGAAUCCGAAGCGCCUUCUCAAAGCGACGAGGCGCUGACCAAAGACACGUUUGCUCAGUCUCGCUGCGACAAGACCGAGGAGCUGAGCCGGCAGCUGGAGGACAUGCUCGGCAUCUACUGCAGACAGAGCUGUUUUGCGGCCAGUCGCACAGUCCUGAGCUAAACGGGGUAGAGAAAGAGGAUGGCAAGCCAGGCAGAUCCAAGGGCGGCAGCGGCGGGAAGAAGCAACAGAAGAAGACGCAGGAGAAGAAGAAAGUGAAGGGUUUAGGCAAAUAAAUCACUCUCCUUCUGCAGACUCUCAAUACUUUGAGCACACCAGAGGAGAAGCUAGCAGGCCUCUGUAAGAAGUAUGCUGAACUGGCUCCUGACUAAUUCCACAAGACUGACCAUGACCAGGAAUGUGGAGUGCCGAAU